This 547-nucleotide ribosomal RNA is filed under the name uncultured eukaryote. Its description in RNAcentral is "eukaryotic LSU rRNA". The stretch from base 156 to 308 matches the Rfam family "5.8S ribosomal RNA". The record is from RNAcentral.
UUCCGUAGGUGAACCUGCGGAAGGAUCAUUCGCACAAAGAAAUGUUCUAUUCCACCCGCCACGCACCACACAGUGCUUCUUGUUUUUUCAUCAGGAAAAGUUUUUCCAUCUCGUCGAUGUUGCGAUCUCAUUGCAAUGUAUGCGAUGUUAUCUAUCUCUUGCAACGACGAAUGCCUUGGCUCGAGGAUCGUUGAAGGACGCAGCGAACUGUGCUAAACAUCUCGAAUUGCAGAUUUCCGAGAAAGAAAAGGAUUCUGAACGCAUUCUGCGAGUUGACUUCGUGUCAGCUCACGUGAUUGGCGGUGACCGAAAUAUGCAGUCGUUCGAACUCCGAAGUUUGAAUGGUUUUCACAUGUCGUCGAAGUUUUUUUCGCCGACGUGUUCGUGUGAUUCAGCGCGUCUCUCGUUUUCGAGCAGCAUUAUGAAUUCGUUUCAUGAUGUUCGUUUCGAUUGAUGUGUUUCCGUUUUGGAAUUUUUUCAAAGACAUUUUUUCACGCACGCUCACGACCAGUCACGGGAUUACCCGCUGAAUUUAAGCAUAUCAAUA